Molecule: long non-coding RNA, 2587 nt
Organism: Talpa occidentalis (Iberian mole)
Lineage: Eukaryota; Metazoa; Chordata; Mammalia; Eulipotyphla; Talpidae
Exons: 3
Source: RefSeq, a predicted model, not a curated record
GACACCCGCCCCUGCCGCCCUGGCCCUGCGCCCGCUCCCGCCUCCCCCGCUGCUGGGGUCUCCUCGGCACUCGCUGCUCCAGACUCGGGGUGAAGCUCUUGCCUGCGGGAGCCCAGUUUCUUCAGGAGCCACCCGGAGCAAGAGGGAGACUGUCUCCUCCAGGCGGAGAAAGAGCAUCCAGAUGCUUCCACGCCCCAGGGCCCUGUAGGUAGAGUGGGUCACAUGGAGAUGCCCCUGCAGUGGGAACCAGUGUGUCCAAGGUGGCCACCUCCUCGAGCCCUAUUGGACCUGCGUGGGAAGAGCAGAGCCAGUGAAGCCCAGGCACAGAGGAGGCUCUUUCCUUAGUGACACCCCCCCGAGGAGUGCUGCUCGGACUCAGAUGCGACAAAGUGCAGAUGGAAACCAGGAAGACCUACCGAGGCAUCACUCGCUGGCGGGUGCUUCACAAGUCCCAUUGCCCUACCGGCCCUUCACCUGCUCUGCUCCUGGGACUGCUGUGCUUGCGGACAUCUGUGCUCCACGUCUAUGUUCUCAUGCUGCUCCUGGCCCCUCUGGCUGGGCCCAACCCCUGACCCCUCUCCAGGGCUUUGGCCUCCGCUGCUGUGCUCAUUUCACUAUGGCCACUGAGUGGCUGCCCUGGAGCGGGGAAGUGAAUUCUAGGGAGGUGCUGGUGAUCAUCUAAUCCCCAGUAGGGUGAACGCUGCUCUUGUGUUUUCCUCUGAAGGGUGCACAGAAAUAGCAACAUUUUAAAAUCCUAUUAAGGAUUCUUCUAGCUCUGGCCUUGUAGCCUCCAAGGGUGGACUGGGAAUGGUUUUCAUGGCCCAGUGUCUCUGCAGGGCCACCGGUGAGCUGAACAAGAGGCGCCUUCUUGGGGUUAUUUGGGUGGUGCUGGAGAGCUGGGAGGCUGGGCUGGAUGUCUUCCUAAUGCUUUCCUGGCCCCCCUCCAGGUGGGGGCCUGGAAAAGUAGUGUUGGGGCCCAGAGCUUGCUCCUGCAGGGGGCCUGGAAGCGAUGUGGUGUUGGGCCCCCAUGCCUCCCACAGCACGGGCCCUGACUGGAGGCCAUGCUGGGCUUCCAGGCAUCUGGCAUCAGGGUCCCUGAGCUGGAAACCGAGCUCUGAAUGCUGGCGUCCUCCUGCGGGAUGCCUUGCCCGGAGGUGGUGGUGGGCUUCUGGGCGUCCUGCUUCGGGGACAGUCCCACCCGCAAUUUCUCAGGCCCCGAGACCUCAGGCUGCCAGUGGUCCUCCGGUAUCGGGGCACAGUGGGCCCCAUCAGGACUGAGGAGCUUUGGGGAGAUGGUGGGGUCUGGCCCCUCCUCGUCCACCCGCUGCCUGGAAAGCAGCUUGAGGAAGGUCCCCAUCACAGGGUCAUACCUGCCCUCCAAAAGCGCCCUGUCGAUGACCUCUUUCCAGAACCCCAGGCGGACCAUUGCUUCCAUUGUGUCCUUGUGCUGGCCCUGGGAGGGCUCCCGGCAGGGGAGUCCAUUUGUCAGCCGCACCCAGGGGUGCUGGAUGACACUGUCCAGGUUGCUGCCACUGAGGGGGUCAAGCUCAUCAUCUUCCUCAGCAGGUCCCGGCACACUGAGAGAGGUAGUGCGGCUCAUGAUAGACGCCGCUCAGCUCCCUGGCCCACAGCUCCCCGAGGCUGGUGCCCUUGAAGGGCAGCUUCCCGGUGACCAUGUACUAGAGGACCACCCCCAGGCUCCAGAUGUCCGCCUCGCGGCCACUGUACUCCUUGUGACGGAGAAUCUCAGGGGCCACGAACUGCGGCUGCCACAGGGGGUCUUGAGCAGGGCUGCCUCAGAGAACUAGGCACUGAGCCCGAAGUCUGCCAGUUUUAUAGUUCGGUGCUGGUCCAGGAGCAGGUUCUCCGGCUUCAGGUCCUGGUGCACAACACCCCUGGCGUGGCAGUGGCUGAGCGCUGCCAAGAUCUGCUGGAAGAGGCGGUGCACCUCCAUAUCCCCCAGGCUCCCGCACUUCAACAGGCAGUCCUGCAGGUUGCCCUCCUGCACGCGCUCCAGGACCAGCAGUACCUCAUCCUCAGUGUACAAUACCUGGAAGAGCUGGAGAACGUUCGGUGCCGAAGGACUUUCAUGCAGGCCACCUCGCGGGCCAGGAACCUCUGAGGCAUGCCAGACAUGGGGAUGACCUUUAUGGCCACCUCCAUGCCCAUUGACAGGUGCUGCACCAGCCUGACCUUGGCAUGGGCACCCUCCCCCAGCUUGCGGAGCAUCACUUACUUUCUCAGGGCCAUUCCCUUGGCAGACGGGCGCAUCUGGGCAGUGAAGGCGGACCCGCUCCUAAGCUGGCAGGCCCUGGCUGGCUAGAGCCCUCGGCACUAGCUCCGCUACCUGAUUAACAAGUGCACUAUUAGCCUAGAGCUAGUAGUACGUGAAAAGGAUCCCAAAACUAGCUAAAUGCUACCCGCGCUGACUACUCUACCGAAACAAUAAUGACACUAACUUACCUCUACCAGAAACACUAACUAUGCUAACCUAACUAGGAUACUAAUACUAACUAACUAUGCACUCAAAAAUGAAAACACAACCAAAAAAUUAACAAAGAUAAAUAUUUAAAAAUAUAUAAAAGAA